Molecule: transfer RNA, 73 nt
Filed under: Trichonephila inaurata madagascariensis
Lineage: Eukaryota; Metazoa; Arthropoda; Arachnida; Araneae; Nephilidae
Rfam family: tRNA
About the family: Transfer RNA (tRNA) molecules are approximately 80 nucleotides in length.
Source: Rfam by way of RNAcentral
GUCCUUGUAGUGCAAUGGAUAGCGAAUUGGACUUCUAAUCCAAAGGUCGUGGGUUCGAAUUCCAUCUGGGAUG